AUACGGAGGGUGCAAGCGUUAAUCGGAAUUACUGGGCGUAAAGCGCGCGUAGGCGGAUAUUUAAGUCUCAUGUGAAAGCCCUGGGCUCAACCUGGGAACUGCAUGGGAUACUGGGUAUCUAGAAUACAGUAGAGGGUAGUGGAAUUUCAGGUGUAGCAGUGAAAUGCGUAGAGAUCUGAAGGAACAUCAGUGGCGAAGGCGACUACCUGGACUGAUAUUGACGCUGAGGUGCGAAAGCGUGGGGAGCAAACGGGAUUAGAUACCCUAGUAGUCC
RNAcentral lists this ribosomal RNA (274 nucleotides) under uncultured bacterium. Its description in RNAcentral is "partial 16S ribosomal RNA". It matches the Rfam family "Bacterial small subunit ribosomal RNA", at positions 523 to 796 of the family's 1533-position model. The record is from RNAcentral.